This 3474-nucleotide long non-coding RNA is filed under the name Mus musculus (house mouse). RNAcentral describes it as "long non-coding RNA chr17:75236174-75239648". The record is from RNAcentral. Lineage: Eukaryota; Metazoa; Chordata; Mammalia; Rodentia; Muridae.
AACACCCAGUCUUCCUCCAGGCAAUUGCCCCAAACUCAUCAACCUGAAGUCUUUACUCUCCCUGACCUGUCCAUACAGAAACAAGUCUGCCUCAAGUCACUGGUUUUCUCUGACUCUUUACUCAGAUGUGUUUUCGUUUUAUUGACCAUGAAAAAUACUUUUGCCAUAACAUGGACUAUCAUCAAGCUUCCGUGUUUUACCUUUAAGGCACAUCAAAACCAUAAACCUACUAAUUAUUAAACUCUUGGUUUUUAACGCAUGAUCGAACACUGAAAAUAAUUAUGACCCAGAGUUAGGGCUUUUGGUAAGCUACUUCUGAUCCUGGCAAUGUUAUGAGUGUGUUGAAAGGAGUCUGAAGAGAACAUUGCUUGCCUUGAUGGAGUUUUAGACUGUAUACACUACCAGGCUGUUUAAAAACAUAUAACUGGUAUUUCUAAGGAGCAAAAAGUCACGUCUUGUCCCUAUUCUCUUUGAUUGAAUUACUAUUUUCUAAAUUGAAGUUGAACCAUCUGGUUUGCUAAGAAUAGUUUGAAAUCUGCACUAGAAGACAGCAGUUUCAUGAGGUGUUCUGAGAAAGGAUCAGCUUGGUUCCUCUCUGCCCCCACAUCAUUUCUGAUAGGAUAACUCGAAUGUUACUUUUUUUUAAAUUCCAUUUCCUCCUUCUUCUGCCUCCUUUUAUAUAUUAAAGUAUUUAUCUGCAAGCUGAACAUUUGCUUCUAAAAGAUCAUCUCCAGAGGCUGUACAUAGUGCUGCUGUCAUUGCAUUGUUUAACUGGAGUUUAUUUUAAUUUUAAUUAUGUGGAUGCGUGUGUGGGAUACAGGCGAGUCCAGUUACCCUCAAACACUAGACGAAGUCCUCAGAUCUCUUGAUCAAAGCAGUGUGAAUACACUGACAUGGGUGUGUGGGAUCUGGAUUCAGGAGUAGUAUGUACUCUUAACCACUGAGCCACCUCUCCAAGCCUGCUAUCGUAUUGAAGGAAAAACCAUUUCUGAUCUGAGAAGGAUUGGUAUUUGCUGAUGAUCUUCAUAUGACUUGCUUUCUUAAGGAAUCUGAAGGUGUAGAAUGGCCGGGUUAACUCUGGUUUCAAGGAUUUGUUAGCACUGAGAGUAUUUCAAACAUAUUUUCAGCUCUGAAGAAUAUUCUAGAAUGUGAACCGAUAUUUCGAACAAGACUAAAAUGCCUCCAGCGUAACCUUUGUGCAGGGGACUUCGUGAGAAUGGGCAAGCUGUAACAACAGUUAAGAACACAGUCUUCGAAUUCUGUGGCUUUGAGGCAAGCCUUUUAGUAGAACAGUACAUUUUUAUAAAAUUGAUAGGUGACAGAGAACAUUCACAGCCACAACCAUAUUUGACCUUUGAAACACUGCCUUUGAAACAAGGCCCCCAGAGGUGGAGACUAGCAUGUGAUUUAUCUAGUUCAAAUCUAUACCUCACAUUCCUUUAUCACAAGCUCACCACUUCCUGGGCCUAUUUCAUCACAUUUUGAACUGAGAUGCCUCUGGAGACAUCUGAGUACUGUGUGCGUCUGCUGUGGCACUUUUUAACAUCUUCCCUUUUUUGCAAUCAUAGACACUAUUGAUACAAUACCUGUACAAGGCAUAGGGUCAGAACGAUCUAGACGAACAUCAGUUACAGUGAAUCCCUAUCAUGUUGCCUCCCAAGCCAUCCUGGUGUGAGGUGAAGCCUCCCAAGGAUCAUUCCCCCGGAGUUUGCUUUAGCGCAUGUUUCUUCUUCUCCUCUAACUGCAUUGGUCUACAACCAGACUGUUUCUGAUUUCAUUGUGUUCUUCUUACUGUUAAGCUUGUGCUUCUCGGGAGAGCAAGGCCAUUUAAGAUGAGCUGCAUAAUGGGCACCUAGGAGUCAUGGCUGAUUUUAUCCACACUGCUCCAAUUGGGCCAGGCUGUGUGACAAUAACAAACCCAGCAAGUGCUUUCAUUUUACAUGGGCUGGUUUCCUGGGGGACAUUGGAGGACUCUACCUUAUACAUCUGCUGGAUGUUCAUGCAAUAACUAUUGAGCGACUACUCACAAUACUUGAACUUUGCCAGAAUUGAACCAUGACAAUACUUGACCCGCAUAGCUGAGGAAGAGAGAUGCUUUCAGGAACAUUGAUCCCAUUCACUGGUCAGGUAUAUGGUCCGGUCUGUGGAUUGAAGUGCAUGCCCCCAAUUUCAUGUAUUGAAACUUCUAAUAUUACUAUAUUGGGGCAGAGGCUAAAAGGAGAUAAUUGGGGUUAAGUGAAGUCAUAAGAAUGAGGCCAUGGCAUGAUAUGAUUAGCAUCAUUAGAAGAAAGGAUUCCAAAAUACUGGCCUGUGUUCUAUCUCCCUUCCGGUAGACUCCCAGUUAAAAGAUCGUGUGAAUACAGAGCUCUUGACAUACGUGAAAGUGCAGUGGACAAUACAAGCUUAGUUCCUGCUUCAGGGAUGUAAAUGGACCUGUUGCUUUUAUUUGUGGAUUUCAGUUUUUCUACUGAAUUAUGUCCAAGCCACAGGUAAUUAGUAGUUUUAAGUUUUGUGUAUUUCAGUGGGACACAGAAGAACUGAAAACUUAACCAAAUGGGAGGACUUUGUUAAAAUUUUGCAGUUCUAUGAGGCCUGACAUGGCCUUUGUUCUCUUCAUCAUGUCUAUAGAGACACAAAGGGAACUGCUAAGCAAUGAUGUUUAAUGUAGAGAAGUACCCAGCAUAGCUAAGGAAAUAAACAUCACUCUGCAGGUGAUCUGGUUGCCAUAGCAACAACCUAUAUGCCCAUCUUUAUUUUUUCACCUACCAUAGUUCUUUGUUUUCAAUCCAUAGCCCUGUCAAUUAGAAUUUAAAAUAAAUUUAAGACGACGAACAUUUAUGCAAAUGUAAUAAUGAAUCUGGUAUUUUGUAUGCAAACUAAAAUUUAUAAUAAAAUGAAACAAAUUUGACUUACUUGCUCCCUAGUACUCCAAUUUAUGGUAUGUUCUAUGUUGCUUUUCUACAAAAGAAAGCAGAAUUAUGUGAGAACAGAGUCAUGAUAGAACUUAAUUAUUUUUUUUAGCAGCUCAGGAAGACCAACAAUACAUAGAUCACAAUCUGGAAGACUUGUCUCUCAAAAUUCCCAAAUCACAGAGGCAGAGAAAGUAGAGGACUGAAUUCAAUGUUUGGUUUUGGGUUUUUUGGAAAGAUAUAAAAAAAAAUCAUGUGGUAUGCCCUUAAAAAUACUGUCCCUUUUGUAUGUUAACAUUAAAAACCAAUCCUUACUGUAGUGUUACUUUAAAAAUAUCAUUUUAUAAACUAAAGUAGUUGUCCGGAGUUCCUUGAACGCAUGAUUUGGCUUUAAGCAAAUAUACUGUCAGAAAUCAGUGUGGAUACAUUUCCAGCUGCUAAUGCCUUAGUCACAGCCGAUACUUUAUAAAAUCAAUACCCUGAAAUAUCAGAGGAUUAUGCAUAUAUCAGAUACCCCAAAUGCCAACGUUGUUUUAAUUACUCUAAUAAAAGAAAGCUGGUAGAC